Molecule: ribosomal RNA, 495 nt
Filed under: uncultured bacterium
Lineage: Bacteria
Description: partial 16S ribosomal RNA
Rfam family: Bacterial small subunit ribosomal RNA
Source: RNAcentral
GACGAACGCUAGCGGCGUGCCUAAUACAUGCAAGUAGAACGCUGAAGGAGGAGCUUGCUCUUCUGGAUGAGUUGCGAACGGGUGAGUAACGCGUAGGUAACCUGCCUGGUAGCGGGGGAUAACUAUUGGAAACGAUAGCUAAUACCGCAUAAGAGUAGAUGUUGCAUGACAUUUGCUUAAAAGGUGCAAUUGCAUCACUACCAGAUGGACCUGCGUUGUAUUAGCUAGUUGGUGGGGUAACGGCUCACCAAGGCGACGAUACAUAGCCGACCUGAGAGGGUGAUCGGCCACACUGGGACUGAGACACGGCCCAGACUCCUACGGGAGGCAGCAGUAGGGAAUCUUCGGCAAUGGACGGAAGUCUGACCGAGCAACGCCGCGUGAGUGAAGAAGGUUUUCGGAUCGUAAAGCUCUGUUGUAAGAGAAGAACGAGUGUGAGAGUGGAAAGUUCACACUGUGACGGUAUCUUACCAGAAAGGGACGGCUAACUACGUG